Molecule: transfer RNA, 74 nt
Filed under: Phycisphaeraceae bacterium
Lineage: Bacteria; Pseudomonadati; Planctomycetota; Phycisphaerae; Phycisphaerales; Phycisphaeraceae
Also listed under: 3 other names
Description: tRNA-Pro
Rfam family: tRNA
About the family: Transfer RNA (tRNA) molecules are approximately 80 nucleotides in length. Their secondary structure includes four short double-helical elements and three loops (D, anti-codon, and T loops).
Source: RNAcentral
CGGGGUGUAGCGCAGCUUGGUAGCGCGCUUCGUUCGGGACGAAGAGGUCGCUGGUUCGAAUCCAGUCACCCCGA